Long non-coding RNA from Drosophila elegans, 250 nucleotides. RefSeq lists it as uncharacterized. The record is from RefSeq and is a predicted model, not a curated record. The transcript has 2 exons. Lineage: Eukaryota; Metazoa; Arthropoda; Insecta; Diptera; Drosophilidae.
UACAAUUUAGGGGAAUGAAACUGACUAUAAAAUGGGAUUGAAGAGCCAAAGAAAGGCAUCAGUCAGCGGCUCAGCAUUCUCAAGUAAAGAUUACCUUACCAACGGAAAAAAGGAAUCAUCAUGAAGCUAACUCUUUGCAUUUUGAUUGCGAGCGCUCUACUGAUCGGCUGUUCGGGCUCGGCAGUUCCAGCUUGUGAAUGCACGGAGUCCACAACACCCCCUUGUACAACCCCGCCAACAACCACGACAA